CCUACGGGGGGCUGCAGUGGGGAAUAUUGCACAAUGGGGGAAACCCUGAUGCAGCAACGCCGCGUGAAGGAAGACGGUUUUCGGAUUGUAAACUUCUAUCAAUAGGGAAGAAAGAAAUGACGGUACCUGAAUAAGAAGCCCCGGCUAACUACGUGCCAGCAGCCGCGGUAAUACGUAGGGGGCAAGCGUUAUCCGGAAUUACUGGGUGUAAACGGUGAGUAGGCGGCAUGGUAAGCCAGAUGUGAAAGCCUUGGGCUUAACCCGAGGAUUGCAUUUGGAACUAUCAAGCUAGAGUACAGGAGAGGAAAGCGGAAUUCCUAGUGUAGCGGUGAAAUGCGUAGAUAUUAGGAAGAACACCAGUGGCGAAGGCGGCUUUCUGGACUGAAACUGACGCUGAGGCACGAAAGCGUGGGGAGCGAACAGGAUUAGAUACCCUUGUAGUC
This 443-nucleotide ribosomal RNA is filed under the name uncultured bacterium. Its description in RNAcentral is "partial 16S ribosomal RNA". It matches the Rfam family "Bacterial small subunit ribosomal RNA", at positions 338 to 795 of the family's 1533-position model. The record is from RNAcentral.